Quercus robur (English oak) is the source of this 725-nucleotide long non-coding RNA. RefSeq lists it as uncharacterized. Lineage: Eukaryota; Viridiplantae; Streptophyta; Magnoliopsida; Fagales; Fagaceae. The transcript has 4 exons. The record is from RefSeq and is a predicted model, not a curated record.
AACCAAUGAGGUUUCUGACGCUAAACUCAUGUCAGGCACAGAACAGAAGCAGCAUCCAUGGAGAGCGGCGCGUGGCCCCACGCGCUUGUGAAGAUGUCUACCCUACACCUUCGCCGCCGUCAUAAUUUCCGUCGCCAUUGGCGUAUCUGUCCUCGGCGCCGCCUUGGGCAUUUAUAUAACCGGAAGCAGUUUGAUCGGUGCUGCAAUCAAAGCUCCCCAUAUUCCUUCCAAGUACCAAGAGUUUAGUUAGUGUUAUCUUUUGUGAAGCUGUUGCAAUUUAUGGCUUUAUUGUGGCAAUUAUUCUACAAACAAAGUUAGAGUGUUCCAAAAUCACAGAUUUAUGUACCUAAGUCUCUUAGAGCAGGAUAUGCGAUCUUUGCCUCUGGGAUUAUUGUGGGCUUUUUAAACCUUGUCUGCGGAUUCUUCUUUUGACAACAGGCUAUGUGUGAGAAUCAUUGGAAGCAGUUGCGCAGUUGCGCUUUGUCUGAUGCUCAAAACUUCUCUCUUUUUGUAAAGAUUCUUGUUAUCGAAAUCUUUGGUAGUGCACUUGGGUUGUUUGGAGUGAUGGUGGGAAUUAUUAUGUCAGCUCAAGCCACAUGGCCUGCAAAAACAGUGUAAUUUUCUACUCUAAAUGGAACAUUAGGAAUUGGUUAUGACACAGUAUCAUAAAUAUGCUCUGUAUUCUUUCAUCCGUUAUUAAUAGACAUGUUAAUAGUUUGUGCGGA